CCAAACUAACCUAAAUGGGUGACC
Molecule: non-coding RNA, 24 nt
Filed under: Arabidopsis thaliana (thale cress)
Lineage: Eukaryota; Viridiplantae; Streptophyta; Magnoliopsida; Brassicales; Brassicaceae
Source: RNAcentral